This is a non-coding RNA of Paramuricea clavata, 942 nucleotides long. Lineage: Eukaryota; Metazoa; Cnidaria; Anthozoa; Malacalcyonacea; Plexauridae. The record is from the annotation of a GenBank genome assembly.
GUCAGUUAGGAUAUUUUGUCAGUUGUCAGUCAAAAAUUCAGGCAAAUGUCUGUAGUCAGUUAACCCCAUUCAGACCCUCUUAUGUAGUGGCAUGACUCUGCUGACAGGCAUACUCUGGGAACGAGAUUGAUUGUAAGCCUGAAUGAAUCCAAUUUUCACAUGACCAUGCAUGUGGCUAAUAGCCUAAUAUGAUUGCUAUGUGUUUUAUUACAGAAAGAGAUGACCAUGCGGCUAUGCAAUUGACAGUAUAUUGCCUAACUUAGCAUAUGACAUACAUACAUCAAGGGAAUUAAAUAUAGCAAAUAAGAGUUAAUAAGCUACUUUCAAGUCUCCAUCAGUAAUUAUCACUUGUUAGUAUUUUUAUAGUCAUCGCUUACACGGUUUUACGUUUAUCAUCAGGGCUGUACGCAGUGUGGGGUGAAGGGGGGCUGUGGCAAGUAGUUGCCUCUGCCCCCCACAGAAAAAAAUGAAUUUACUGAUUUUAUAUUGUUAUUAUAAUUUAAUAAUAAGCCAAAUGCCACCAAAUAUGAUCUUAUGAAUCAGAAUGUAUUCUGUAGACUUUGAAUGAAUUGGCAUUUGGGUACAUAUAUCAGCAUAUAAGUAUAACUGACCCCCUUAAAAAAUCCUGCGUAUGGCCCUGAUAAUAUUGUCACCCAAAUAGCUGUCAAUUUCCUUUUGAAUAGAACACCAUCAUAACCAUAGUAUGAGAUUUUAUUUCAUUCCAUUUUUAUUUUUUUCUGGUUGUCAUGAGUGACUCAUUGCAGCUUGUAAAAUUGUAACUAUGCAUUCACACAGUCAUUCACUUAUGUAUGUAUUGAAGUCUUUUGAAGAGCACCAUUAUUUUUAUCCAACUUGCAACAGCAGUCAUGUAAAAUAAUAUAUAUGUAAUUCUUUAUUGAUAUUGAAUAAAAGAAUAAAGGAAGGAUGCUGAAUUAAUUUUGU